This 1547-nucleotide long non-coding RNA is filed under the name Malus domestica (apple). RNAcentral's name for it is "long non-coding RNA (MDOM_LNC011701)". Lineage: Eukaryota; Viridiplantae; Streptophyta; Magnoliopsida; Rosales; Rosaceae. The record is from RNAcentral.
GGAUUUUAUACAUAUUUACGCGCUCUAACCCUAACUGUCCCCAAUUAAGCCCGAAACUCGUGCAGUCUCUCUCUCUCUCUCUCUCUCUCUCUCUCACACACACAAGUCAUGAAACGCCGACCGCCGGAGGGCGUUGUGGGAUCAGGACCUUGGCGGGAGAAGAAACCAGCCCAGUUGCUGGAGCUCCGAGGUGAGAUCCGGACUCGUACGUCAUGGUAUGCAUGCUUUUGGUUUUUGUUUUAGGGUUUGUGAGAUGCGGACUGGUAAAUUGAUUAUUUGUAAAUUUGAAUUUGCAGCAUUUCAGUUCCGCUAUCUCAGUUUGUAAUCUGCGUAUGUACAUUCAUGUUUUGAGUUUUGAGGAAACAUAUUAACCAAACUGCUGUUGGUUUUCGUUGCUACAUUUGCAAGAAUUACCAUUUAAUUAAUUUCACACCUGAAUAAUUUUUUGAGUUGAUAUUUAAAAUUCCCUUUUAAUUUAUAUUCAAAUAUGUAUGUUUUUUGUGUUGGUUUAUGUAUAUGUAGCAGCUAGAAAAUGAAGAACAAGAAAUAAAGAUUGAUAUCGAGUAAGUAAUUUAUGUGUAUAUUUCGAUCCACCAAACAAACAGAUGAGAAGAAAGAAGAAAAAGAGAAGAAAAGGCUGGUGAGGACUCUCUGUCUCAACCAAACACUUUAACUUCAAAGAAGAAGAAUGAGAAGAAAGAAGAAAACGCCGUUUGAAGACUCUCUGAGUCGAUCCCGACUUGAAGAAGAAGAAGAAGAAGAAGAAGAAAAAGAAAAAACAAGGGCUGUUAAAGACUCUCUGAGUCAAUUGUGAGAGACAUUCAUUGUUUCCGUCCUUUUAUAAGUUAUCCCUGCUCCUCUGGAGAUAACUGAUAAUAUUAAGGCUUGAUGCAUGAAUGAUGUUGUGCAACUUAUUCUUGUACCCAUCGCCAUAGUCAUCAAGCAGUUUAAUUAACGUAAAUGGGGACUGGACGAUUAGCGUUUCACCACCAAACGAUGCUCGAGUCAGCCACGGAGUUUGUUGAUUGCUGUUUAUCUCGUAACCAGAGCCAUAGAACAGAACGUAUGAGCUAAUCGACGACUAAACAAUUUCCAUGAUGAACUUCUAUUUGUUUUAUGCACAUGAAUGACUAAACGAUCUCCAAAUUGAUUGAUUUUUUCAAGUAUGAUCUCCAAAUUAAGAGAAUGUAGGUACAAUUUCGAUUAUGAUAUUUGGUCGGUAAAAAUUCGUUAAUAUUAAGUAAGGGGAAUUGUCCCACAUAAAAAGAACACAAGCAUUAUUCUUGCUUACAUAUUUUUACUUGACCAAAAAAAAUAAAUAAAUAAAGGUUGGGUGGUAACACAAACGUAGCUUUCUUCCCUCAACGAUUCCGUAUUUUGUAUGCUUGCAAUCGUUCGUAUAUUAUACAACAACAACAAUAAAGCCUUUUCCCACUAAGUGGGGUCGGCUAUAUGAAUCAUAGAACGUCAUUGUGCUCGGUUUUGUGUCAUGUCCUCCGUUAGAUCCAAGUACUCUAAGUCUUUUCUUAGGGUCUCUUCCAAAGUUU